AUUCUACCCAUACAGGGAGGGAUGAGAAGCUUCGACUAAGGUUCGACUCGAGCGCCAGCGAGAGAGCGUUGCCGCAGGCAACGACCCGUAGGGCGAAGCGCGCAGCGCUGAGUAAUCCU
RNAcentral lists this small RNA (119 nucleotides) under Escherichia coli. RNAcentral describes it as "partial RtT sRNA". It matches the Rfam family "RtT RNA". From Rfam's summary of the family: This family represents a bacterial cis-regulatory element known as RtT RNA. Lineage: Bacteria; Pseudomonadati; Pseudomonadota; Gammaproteobacteria; Enterobacterales; Enterobacteriaceae. The record is from RNAcentral.